This 253-nucleotide ribosomal RNA is filed under the name uncultured bacterium. Its description in RNAcentral is "partial 16S ribosomal RNA". It matches the Rfam family "Bacterial small subunit ribosomal RNA", at positions 524 to 776 of the family's 1533-position model. The record is from RNAcentral.
UACGUAGGGGGCAAGCGUUGUCCGGAAUCAUUGGGCGUAAAGCGCGUGUAGGCGGCCCGGUAAGUCCGCUGUGAAAGUCCAGGGCUCAACCCUGGGAUGCCGGUGGAUACUGUCGGGCUCGAGUCCGGAAGAGGCGAGUGGAAUUCCUGGUGUAGCGGUGAAAUGCGCAGAUAUCAGGAGGAACACCGAUGGCGAAGGCAGCUCGCUGGGACGUGACUGACGCUGAGGCACGAAGGCCAGGGGAGCAAACGGG